GCGCCCGUAGUACAACGGAUAGAACACAGCCCUCCGAAGGCUGAGAUCGAGGUUCAAUUCCUCGCGGGCGCACAA
RNAcentral lists this transfer RNA (75 nucleotides) under Candidatus Nomurabacteria bacterium CG1_02_43_90. RNAcentral describes it as "tRNA-Arg". It matches the Rfam family "tRNA". From Rfam's summary of the family: Transfer RNA (tRNA) molecules are approximately 80 nucleotides in length. Their secondary structure includes four short double-helical elements and three loops (D, anti-codon, and T loops). Further hydrogen bonds mediate the characteristic L-shaped molecular structure. tRNAs have two regions of fundamental functional importance: the anti-codon, which is responsible for specific mRNA codon recognition, and the 3' end, to which the tRNAs corresponding amino acid is attached (by aminoacyl-tRNA synthetases). tRNAs cope with the degeneracy of the genetic code in two manners: having more than one tRNA (with a specific anti-codon) for a particular amino acid; and 'wobble' base-pairing, i.e. permitting non-standard base-pairing at the 3rd anti-codon position. Lineage: Bacteria; Candidatus Nomuraibacteriota. The record is from RNAcentral.